This 374-nucleotide ribosomal RNA is filed under the name uncultured bacterium. Its description in RNAcentral is "bacterial SSU rRNA". It matches the Rfam family "Bacterial small subunit ribosomal RNA", at positions 30 to 404 of the family's 1533-position model. The record is from RNAcentral.
AUUGAACGCUGGCGGCAUGCCUUACACAUGCAAGUCGAACGGCAGCGCGGGGCAACCUGGCGGCGAGUGGCGAACGGGUGAGUAAUAUAUCGGAACAUACCCUAGAGUGGGGGAUAACGUAGCGAAAGUUACGCUAAUACCGCAUACGCACUAAGGUGGAAAGUGGGGGAUCUUCGGACCUCAUGCUCAUGGAGUGGCCGAUAUCUGAUUAGCUAGUUGGUGAGGUAAAGGCUCACCAAGGCGACGAUCAGUAGCUGGUUUGAGAGAACGGACCAGCCUCACUGGAACUGAGACACGGUCCAGACUCCUACGGGAGGCAGCAGUGGGGAAUUUUGGUACAAUGGGGGCAACCCUGAUCCAGCAAUGCCGCGUGA